RNAcentral lists this ribosomal RNA (441 nucleotides) under uncultured Prevotella sp. RNAcentral's name for it is "bacterial SSU rRNA". It matches the Rfam family "Bacterial small subunit ribosomal RNA", at positions 354 to 792 of the family's 1533-position model. The record is from RNAcentral. Lineage: Bacteria; Pseudomonadati; Bacteroidota; Bacteroidia; Bacteroidales; Prevotellaceae.
UGAGGGAAUAUUGGUCAAUGGACGAAAGUCUGAACCAGCCAUGCCGCGUGAAGGAAUAAGGCCCUAUGGGUCGUAAACUUCUUUUGUAUGUGAGCAAUAAGGUCCACGUGUGGACCGAUGAGAGUAGCAUACGAAUAAGCAUCGGCUAACUCCGUGCCAGCAGCCGCGGUAAUACGGAAGGUCCGGGCGUUAUCCGGAUUUAUUGGGUUUAAAGGGAGCGCAGGCCGUGGGUUAAGCGUGUCGUGAAAUUCCGUCGCUCAACGGCGGACGUGCGGCGCGAACUGGUCCACUUGAGUACGCGGGACGUUGGCGGAAUUCGUGGUGUAGCGGUGAAAUGCUUAGAUAUCACGAAGAACUCCGAUUGCGAAGGCAGCUGACGGUAGCGCAACUGACGCUGAGGCUCGAAAGUGCGGGUAUCGAACAGGAUUAGAUACCCUGGUA